CCUACGGGAGGCAGCAGUGGGGAAUAUUGCACAAUGGGCGAAAGCCUGAUGCAGCAACGCCGCGUGAGGGAUGAAGGCCUUCGGGUCGUAAAGCUCUGGCCUCAAGGAAGAGAAUGACGGUACUUGAGGAGGAAGCCCCGGCUAACUACGGGACAGCAGCCGCGGUAAUACGUCGGGGGCGAGCGUUAUCCGGUAUUACUGGGCGUAAAGGGUGCGUAGGUGGUUUCUUAAGUCAGAGGGGAAAGGCUACGGCUCAACCGUAGUACGCCUUUGAAACGGGGGAACUUGAGUGCAGGAGAGGAGAGUGGCAUUCCUCGUGUAGCGGUGACAUGCGUAGAUCUUAGGAGGAACCCCAGUUGCGACGGCGGCUCUCUGGACUGUAACUGACACUGAGGCACGAACGCGUGGGGAGCAAACAGGAUUAGCUACCCGGGUAGUC
This 439-nucleotide ribosomal RNA is filed under the name uncultured bacterium. Its description in RNAcentral is "partial 16S ribosomal RNA". It matches the Rfam family "Bacterial small subunit ribosomal RNA", at positions 338 to 795 of the family's 1533-position model. The record is from RNAcentral.